GCCUGGGUGGCUCAGUGGGUUGAGCGUCUGACUUUGGCUCAGGUCAUGAUUUCCCAGUCUGUGAGUUCGAGCCCCACGUCGGGCU
This 85-nucleotide transfer RNA is filed under the name Felis catus (domestic cat). It matches the Rfam family "tRNA". Rfam says of the family: Transfer RNA (tRNA) molecules are approximately 80 nucleotides in length. The record is from Rfam by way of RNAcentral. Lineage: Eukaryota; Metazoa; Chordata; Mammalia; Carnivora; Felidae.